CGCGUAGGCGGAUUAAUAAGUCAGUGGUGAAAACCUGCAGCUUAACUGCAGACCUGCCAUUGAUACUGUUAGUCUUGAGUACGGUCAAGGUAGGCGGAAUGUGUAAUGUAGCGGUGAAAUGCUUAGAUAUUACACAGAACACCGAUUGCGAAGGCAGCUUACUGGGCCAUUACUGACGCUGAGGCACGAAAGCGUGGGGAGCGAACAGGAUUAGAUACCCUGGUAGUCC
RNAcentral lists this ribosomal RNA (229 nucleotides) under uncultured bacterium. RNAcentral describes it as "partial 16S ribosomal RNA". It matches the Rfam family "Bacterial small subunit ribosomal RNA", at positions 568 to 796 of the family's 1533-position model. The record is from RNAcentral.